Molecule: ribosomal RNA, 301 nt
Filed under: uncultured bacterium
Lineage: Bacteria
Description: partial 16S ribosomal RNA
Rfam family: Bacterial small subunit ribosomal RNA
Source: RNAcentral
CAGUCGCCGCGGGAAUACGUAGGGUGCAAGCGUUAAUCGGAAUUACUGGGCGUAAAGCGUGCGCAGGCGGUUAUAUAAGACAGAUGUGAAAUCCCCGGGCUCAACCUGGGAACUGCAUUUGUGACUGUAUAGCUAGAGUACGGCAGAGGGGGAUGGAAUUCCGCGUGUAGCAGUGAAAUGCGUAGAUAUGCUGAGGAACACCGAUGGCGAAGGCAAUCCCCUGGGCCUGUACUGACGUUCAUGCACGAAAGCGUGGGGAGCAAACAGGAUUAGAUCCCGAGUAGUCCCUGUCUCUUAUACA